GGGAGGAGAGGGCGGGGUCGCGCGUGACUGCAGCGCCUCCUCAGGCGCUCCGCGCGCUUCCAGAGGUGGUCCGCGCCGUGCCCACGUGUGUGGCCGGGCCGUGGCCGGGUUGGACCGAGUGUUUGUCUAUCCCCUCUUUCCCCCCCCCCUUCCCCGAGUGGUACCGGGGGACUCUUCCCCGCGUGGGUAGCUAUGGAGCGGGCGCUCAGGUCUCUUGCCCGCAGGGCCUUGGGGCUGCCGUCCACCGCCCGCAGCCGCUGCUUUGGGGAGGGCCCCACGCGGGAUCAGCAGCCCUCGCGGCUGUGCACGGCUGCGGCGCGAGGCGGGGACGGCGCCCGCACCUUCCGUGGGGGUCUCCACGCGGCGCGGGAGGGCUGGGGCUCGGCGGGACGCGAGGCCUCGAAGGGCAGGAGGAGGCCGGAGGGCAGGGCUCUGCCCAUCGAGAGGACGAGGGGCAGCGAGAUCCUGUUCGGCGUAGCGCCGUGCUCCAUGGCCCUGUCCCAGGCCAGGAGGGAUCUGUUCAGGCUGUUCCUCAAGCGGAGCGGCGGCCCUCAGCGGCUCGUCACCAGCGAGUUCGUGCUGCAGGCCGCGGCCCGCGGGGUUCCCGUGCUCCAUGUCGGGAGGAGGGAGCUGGAUACGCUGUGCGGGGGUCGCGUCCACCAGGGAGUGUGCUUGGAGGCUACCCCGCUCCGUUUCAAGAGGCUGGAGGAGGCCGAAGAGCCCGGUUUGGGGGAUGGAGAGAGCCCGAACCGACAGCUGCUGUGGCUGGCGCUGGAGCAGAUUCAGGACCCCAUGAACCUGGGGGCACUGCUGCGCUCUGCGUACUUCUUGGGGGUGGACAGAGUGGUGACGAGCCAGAGGAACAGCUGCCCCUUGACUCCAACAGUGAGCAAAGCAAGUUCUGGAGCUAUGGAAGUCUUUGAUGUCUACAGCACAGAUGAUCUCCGGAGCUUUUUGAAGGCUAAGGCUGCAGAAGGCUGGGAAGUUGUGGGAACAGUGAGCCAGUCUGAAACUGUGGAAAAUGUUCCUGUCAUCAGCUGCUUGGAAUUUCGGUGGAAUAAACCCAUUAUUUUAGUAAUAGGUAGUGAAGGUGAUGGCCUUUCCUUGGAGACGCAGCUCCUGUGCCACCAGAUGCUGGUCAUCCCCUCUGGCAGGGCACUGCACCCGGGCAUUGAGUCACUGAACGUCUCCGUAGCCACUGGCAUCCUCCUGCACUCCAUCUGCAGCCAAAAGCUGAGGAACAGUGAUUGAUUUUUAUCCUGGCACAUGGUGGGAGCUGCCCAGCCCAGAUCUUUGAUGGCAAGAAGCUGCUCAGUGUUCCAUGGCUGUAUUCAGUAUGGAUAUGGAAGUGCUCCUUCCAGGCUCGGCACCAUCUCAGCAAGUUUCAGGUACUUAAACAUGAGGAGACCCUUCAUUAAGUUUGCUUGUGUCUGGGAAAGCCACAUGCCCUCCAACCAUGCUCAGCCAUGGAGGCUCAUCUUUGACAGACAGGCAGGAAAUGCUCUUGACCAUCUGCUGCUGCUCUAAGAAACGAGUGUUUACUACCAGAAAUAUCGGAGGUAUCUGGGAUAGAUCACAGCAGAGUGUAAGGGCAGAGUGCAGCCACUUAUGCAAAGCUGUGCCACGGUCGUCGCCAGCCUGGAGUUGGAAGCUGCUCAGUCAGCAGCAGCCUCCUCCCGUGGCACCGGGAGGCUGCAGCCCGCAGCGUGCUCAGCGAGCCCUGGAGCAGUAGGGAGUACAAGGAUGGACACGGGGAUUUUGCUAUGGCCAAGCAGUAGGGACGGUUGGUGUGAUGCACCUCAUCUGAAGGGACAGGUGGCUCUGGGGACGGAGGUGUCCCUGGGUGUGCCUGCUGAGCCACAUGGCACAUCCCAGCCCCGCUGACACCGCCGAGAUUUACACGCUUAUCUUUCUCCUUUGAAAGGGUACGGAGGAGCGAUGAAAUGGGCUCCACGUGCUGAGGGAGCCAGCAGUGGGCAAGGAAAACUGCCUCGUGCUCAGUGGAUGUCAGCCAGAACCAACCCUGGGAAUCAGCUCCUUGCUCAGUGCCCUCUGCCAUGGAGGCAGCAAAGCAGAGGGCCGCCUCACUGCAGUCCUCUGUAGGCAAUUCUGCCAUAAGUUCAUUUAGGUGAGCUGUCUUUAGUUCCUUGCUCCACUCGCCGUAAUUGCUUCUUCAGAGUGAUGCUACACCUCAGGCGUGGGGCUGCUGCCUGGCUGGCCUUCCAUAGACAGACCAAGGAAGGUGAGGCUGAAGUCAUCAGCAGGUUGGUCACAAAUGACAUCUCUGUAGCGGUGCAUUGCUGUCUGCUGCUGGAACCUCAAACAGUGCCAGGGCUGAGGGCAGGACCACGGGACAGCUUCAGGCUGCUCAGUAUUUGGCUUCAGCGCUGGAAGUACCGGGGAAUAUUAAUUUUCUUUGGGCAUGGAUAUUGUCCUCUUUACCUUUGUGAAAAAUUUUGGUGUUUGGAUGUUUGUGUGAGGUGUGCAGGUGGAACACAGAGAGGUGGUGCCUUUCUGCUGGUGUCUGUGGGGAUGUUAACGCUCCCUGCGAGCACAAUGUCAAGAAGAAACGUUCUUUCCCUGAAAUAUCUUGUAGUUGUGUGGAUGGGAAGUGCGGGGGGCUGCGGGUUCGUGGUGCAUGAUCUGUCCUUUGUGCUCUUGGCAUCUGUUAUCGUGGAGGUCCCUGCUCCUGAACAGCCUUGCAAAGUGCUAUUACAAUAUCAAAUAAUCUGUGAAGUAGACAAGAGAUCAGGAAAGGAAUGCAGUAGAAAAAUGAGCUUGUGCCAAUAUAUUAUUCCAAGGAUAGUAAAAAAAAAAUCCAGCAUGUGGUUUGAAAACGUGGUACUACGUAGACACAUAGGGACAAAGCUUGGAAGUAAUGGCCCUUGGAUCUGAAUGACACAUUUCAGCCAGGGAACUGCACUGGACAUGGCAAGUAGCAGAAAUUCACGAGUCAGGAGGGUUUCAAAAUUUCCUUCUCUUUCCUGCAAUUGUUAAAUCCUCAGAAAGAGGGUAAAAAUUAGGAAAGGGGGUAAUUCUCAGAAAUGGGAGAUCUGUUUACCACCUCAGUGGUAGGAAUGAGAUGGUGUGUGGGGGUUUUUUUGUUUCUUUUUUAAUUUAUUGUAAACUACCUUAUGACAAUUGGUGAUAAAAGGGCUGAGCCUUUCACAAAUCCAUUCUAAUAAAACACCGUAUGACCUCAUAGAUAUGCAUAGGAUUUAGAAAUAACAUGGAUUUUAAUGAAGGUACUUGAAAGGUAUGGUGCCAUAUUGCAAUUUUAUGGAAGAUCUUAGAUUAAUGAAAUUAAACGUGAACUGCAUUGUUUAGAUGAUGAACUUAAGGUCAUAUCUGCAGCAUUUGAAAGAGAAACCUUGAGUGGAGGGUGUAGAAUCAUUGAUUUAGACCCUGGUAGACAGCUGAAUAGCAAGCAUUGAAGCAUGAAGGUAAAUUCCCAUAUUUCAUUGUUAGAAGGUUAGCUGGUGGCUGCCAGCUUUUCAGUGAUAAUCACCAACCAAUUCCACCCUGUUUCAAAAAAGAUUUUGCCUUUGUGUGCUAAGACACUUUUAAAAACCAUUACUGUUCAAAGCAGGGGCACGCUGUUUAAAGAGAAGCUAUUUCUGGAAAAUAUAGGAUGGCAAUGAGUUGAUGCUGUCCUUGGAUAGCGAUGCUAUUAAGUUCAUUAGGAUAAUCGUCCAUUUAAAAUGCUUAUAAGGAGAAUUUAGACUGUUUGCUGAGGGUGCCAGACACCUCCUACUGCAAGUCAUAGAAUCAUAGCUACCUGUCACCAGUAAUUAGCUCUUUUGCUUCCUUAAGAUGGUCUAUAAGACAAUGGCCCUUUCAGAUUUAAGUACUGUUUUCCUGCCCAGACACACACAGGCACACAGCACACACACACAGGGAAUGGAUGCAUGCACAUGUGUUAAAAUAAUGGACGUGAAUUUGUACAACAGGAAAAUUGCAAGGAAUGAAAUCCUCAGGCCUAAAGAAUAAGUGAUAAUGGAAUGAUACUGCCAAUUACAGCUCGAGAACAGCGUUGUCACAGGGAACAGCUCAUGGAGAUGGAAGGAUGAGGGGAGGAGAAAAGGUUCCCUUUUGACAGUUUGCCGUUAAAGUGAAUUUGUCAAGGAUGUUAAAAUUAGAUUUAACUGGGCCAGAUCCUCAGAUGACAUAAAUCAGCCUGGAGACUUCAAACCAUGGGCUGGCCACACAUUCCUCUUUGUUCUUUCUUCAUCUUUAUUAUCUGCAUCAUAACACUGCCUGAAGGCUGCAAUGAUGCUUUAAGCCCCAUUGUCUUAGCGCCGUACAGAUGCAGUAAGAGAAGGCACUGCCCUGCAUUCCCCUGCUCUGGGCACUGUCUUUUAUCACUUAAAACAUCCAUGGGUUUUACAAAACCUACCGUGUGUGGGAGAUGGACACCUUAUCUCAGCCAGGCUUUGGGCUGUGAGGCAGUCUGUGGGAACUGGCCUCUUUCCAGGGUGGGUGAGAUGAGCUGCUUUCCACAACAGCAAGAGCAGUCGGGUUCCCUUCAGUGAGUACUGUUGCAUACCAGAGUGAGUACAGGGGGAUGAGGGCAAACCCAAGGGGAUGCUCACAGGUGGGAGUGGGGUGGGGUGGGUGUUGUUCUGUGUGCAUUCUCCUCCAGCCUGAGUUUUUGGCAGGCUGAGCGAAGCUCUGCCACAUCAGGAAAACUGCCAGUAAGGAAAUUAGAGAAGAAAUAGUGUUCGAUAAUGGUCAUAAAUGCAUUAUGAUCAUUCCUUUCGUUAGAAACUUCCUUGUUUUCUCCCUGGUGUGCACCAAAAGCAGCUUGCACGUAAUUUAUUUGUGUGUGUUUGGGGAGAAGAGGCAAAGGGAAUAAAAUCUAAGCCGUUAGACAUUCAAAAAGGCAGCUGGGAGAUGCAGAGAUGUGAUGGUUAUGAAAAUGAAUGGAAGCCAUGCGUCCAAAUCCCUUGGUCGUUCUUGAAGAUCUUGUCCCUAGAAGUUAUCUGACAGUCCAUUCAGAAUGGGGCGCUGCCUCUCACAUCUCCAGCAUGCGUCCAGGAGCAGCUGGGCAGUGAGAGCAGCUUAUGUGGGAUCCGAAGGGCAGCUGCGUCCCGCUCCCCUCUGCAGAGCUUUCUGCCGUGUGCAGCUCUUGGCAUCAGACAGACUGGCCCCGCCAUGCCCAGUUCUGUGGAGCUGGUUUGCUGAGCUUCUCACAGAUCUGUAACUUUCCACCCUGUGCUAAAUCUGCCCACAAAUAUUUUUUCAUUUUGUAAGGAAUCUAUUGGCAUUGGCCACUUCAGAAAUGCUGACCCAUUAAGUCUAAACAGGCGAGUUAGGGCAUGUGAAAUAUCAAUUGAUUAUAAAACCCAUAUUAAUUGACGUUUAGCAGCCCCACUAAUGGAGAGGAGCUCAUUACAUAGCAGUUAACCCUCAACGCAUAUAUAUUAAAUAAUCAAUUAGUAUUUAUUUAACAUACAAUCACCUCCCUAUUAGAGCUAAAUUAAAAGCCUCUUUAUGGAGGCCUAGCAGAAGGCGCUGCACUGUGCUAACCUGCAGCCAGGAACGUGCAUUAACAGCAUGGAUCUGUGUUACCUCCGCUGCCCCCGAGAUGCUGUCAGUGACAAACUGGAAGGAGGGCAUCGCUGUUACACCUGGCUGUGGGAAGGGGAACUCAGCCCUGGGCUGGGAUGGAGCAGAGAGAGGCACAGCUCAUGAUAAAUCUUCCAUAGAGCCGUGGCAAGAGCAAAGAGCUCCUGCAGCACAAUGUGUUGUGUAGGCAGAUCCUGCUCCUAGGAGGGGCCAGGCUAAGAGGGAAUUGGGGUAGAAGGGAAAGUCAUAAUUUCCCCUUUGAGGACAGAUCGGAAAGGUGCUGCUCGUCCCAGGCUGAGCAGGGUGUGCUCUCUGUGCGUUUGGCACAUCUCUCAGCUGCAAAAAGGAGGCUUUAACACCACACUGCUUCUUAUAAUCAGAAUGUUCAAUUAAAACUCGCUCCAAAUGGUGCGAGGGGUGAGGCUGCAUAGGGAAAGGUGAGCCAAAUUUCUCCAGGAUUAAACACAGUGCCAAAAGAGCACCCACAGCUCCCGGGCAGGGGAGGGUGCUCACAACGGGGAUGUGCUGUAGGUGUACCCAGAGAUGUGGGACACAGAAGGGAAAGGCCUGAAAGUAGAAGAAGAAAAGUAUUUUCAAGGGUAAAAAAAAAAAUACCAAAGAAAGGAGAACAAGGAGAGCUGUGGGCAGACAGCGAUGCUAUAUAGAAAGCAGAGGUGGCACGGUUGGGUAAUGGAAAUAGGGCAAACUGGGGAGCUGGGAAAGGAGGAGAACUAAAUUGCUCGAAAUGAGUCUCUCCUGUGUUAUGUCCUGAGCUGCCAUUUCCAUCUGUGUGGAGCGCUGAAUAUAAGCAAAUGGAUUUACACCAAGCAGAGAUAGGAGUAAGGGCCUGGCAAGGAAGAGUAAAGCACGGAGCAAUUCUCUUUUCCUUGGAGCCUCGCUUCUGGAAACAUUCCCAGUCCUUGGCGUAUUCAUCAGGAUCGUUACAAUUCUGCUGCCACAAAGAGGGAAGUAUCGUGUUCUCCUGUUAUUUAUUAGCAUAUGCUGGACUGUGAGGGACCGUGGUGGGGAGGGGAGCCCUGCUGUGAGGGGCACGGGGUAAACACAGCCGAAAUGACAGCAGCAGGCCUCAUCACAGAGCGUUAGCAAUUCAAACAGCCACGUCAGGCGGAGAAUUUGAGAGACGGAUGUAACACAAGCAAAGGAAGAACGUGGCAGUUUGCAAACAGUGAGUUGGGUGAUGUUCUUGUAGGUGUGUUCAUUCUUGAAGCACCUCGAAAGAAACGCAAAUGAAAUGUAUGGCGGGCAGGUCUCCGUGCAAGCAAGGCCUGUUGGAGCUUCAGGUCAGAGAUGCAGGAACUUCUUUAUCUCGUAGAGAGAGAUAACAAGAGGGCUUUUGGAAAAUGUGAGAAAACCAUUGGAGGUCUGGUUUUGCCUAAAGGCACAGUGGGAUGGAUGAUGGAGUCUGAGGAGUGGGGAGUUGUGUGCUAUUCUAUUAAUAAAAGCAGAAGGAAGUAGCAGAACAGAAGCAGUGGAGCAAAUCCCAAAGUCAGUGCCCCACCAAACAGGCAAAAAACUCACCAAAGAAAAGCUGAUGAAUUUCCAGGGUAGAAUUUGUUGGCAGACAGACUGGGCUGAUGUUUCCUAAAGCAACCAGCUUAAUCCCUCCAUUCUGCAAAGGCAAUGCCAAACAAAAGAAAGCUGCUCAACAUUUUCUAUUAGCCUGAAAUUUUGCUGCAGAGAAAAUGAUAACAUGGAAGGAAUUUCCUUGGGAAAGAAAAGAGAAAAGGGUGCUGUGGAAUUAUUUUAGUUCAGACGACUGCAAUGCUAAAAAUGAAUUCUGGGGCAGGACAAUAAACUCAUACACGAAUAUUAAUUCUGCUUGCAGUCACCCAAGGAGUUCAGUCACUGAAGCCCAUUCAUGGUCCGUGUGCUUCCACAGCCUCAGAGGGAUGCUCCAAAAAACUUUGAAAAGCCCAAUCUAAACACGUUUGUGCCCAACUUUCUAAAGAUCCUCCUGUGUGGCUGCAAAGAAUAAGUAAUUUCUAUCUGUAACACGUUAUGAAGUCCUCGGGAAGUAGGCACCGGGGCAGUGUAAAAUGGUUAUUUUAGCCUUAUCUUCUCUUACAAUUGCUUGUUCUCCAUCUCCGCGGAGGGCAGCUGGCAGCACAGCGCUGCGGUGAUUUAAGCCCACCAGGCUGCGGUGUUGGCUCUGUUGUGCAGCGCCUGAGCCGCUGUGCAGGACUUGGCCAUAAACCGCACAGCCCAAGGAAGAUGUUGCUUGUUUUCCAGGACAGGAUGAAAUCACCCCGUGCAUGUCCUCUGUCUGUCGCCUCUCCGGGCAGGGAAAACAUAAAUGCCUUUCCCAUCAUUUUAUUUAUUGCCUUUCUGUGUUUCCUGGGAAAAGCCUAUUUUUAUUUUCUAGCACUUUUGUGUGUGAGUCUGUGUGGGGUAAGCAUGUGUGUGUGUGUGUGUGUGUGUGUGUGUGUUUAGGAGGUUAAAAAAAAAUUCUUGCUGUCAGCAAGUGAUGUUACAAACCUGCUCUGACAAGGCUGGUUGUAUAUUUACAGUUGGUGAGAGCGAAGGCUUCAUCAAUCUUCACGCUUUGAAAGGGACAGGCCCGCUCCCAUGAGCACCUGCUCCGGGAGAACAGCUGAACUGUGACUUUCCAGGGAGCUAGCUGUAAAUUUUAGCCAUUCCCCCCGCAGCCCACGCAUGCUUGAGCUCUUUAACCUUCCCAGGCUGGCAGGAGUCCCAGCAAUCAGUUUAGUGCAAAGACUGGGGUUCUUUUUAAUUAACCUUUUGUUUCCCACUGCAGGUGUUUCGAAGUUUCUUAAUGUUAAAAAGGAAGAGGAAAGAAGCUGUUUGCAGAGGUGCAUCCACUCUCUUCCACUCUUGCUAUGCUCGGUGAUCAAAUGGGAGCGGUCUUUCUCAUGUUUCUGCUCCUCAUUUGCCUCCUGCAUGUAAGAUUAUAACAACAUCUGCUCCGAACCUCUGUAGGCAUCUACACAAAGUAUUCCCGUGAGUACAUUUCAGUUCUGUCCUGCAAGGUCACCCUUCCAUCCUUUGUGAGGCAUCUGCUUUUCCAACCCACUCCGCUUUCUCCAGGCAACGUUCUCCCGACGCCUGCCUCCCUCAGUGGGUUGAUGUUCUGUUUAAUUAGUUUGGCCUCUCGCACCCGGCCGGGGGAAGUUUGAUUAGAGACUCAGACAACACUUCUGUUCCUUCAGCCUCCGGUCCUCCCAGAGCACACACCCGAUGGAAGGAGAAAAAAAUGCCCUUUCCUACAACUCCAGCCAGCCCGUCCUGCUUGGACCAUCCACGCUGGUACGGCACACAAGGCUGGUGAGAAGUCAGAGCUUAGAAAACGUCGUGCUAGAGCACAGGGACAGGGUUUACUUAUGUCGUGCUUGGGAAGCGUUGCAGUAUUUUUACACACCGGAACAGGUUGCCCAAGGAGGCUGUGGAUGCCCCAUCCCUGCAGGCAUUCCAGGCCAGGCUGGAUGUGGCUCUGGGCAGCCUGGGCUGGUGGUUGGUGACCCUGCACAUAGCAGGGGGUUGGAACUAUUUGAUCAUCGUGGUCCUUUUCAACCUGGGCCAUUGUGUGAUUCUAUGAUUUUUUAAUGUAAAAGCAUUCGGUUUUCUUCAGCGCUUGCCCUGUUAAUAAAGAAAGCUGUAUCAUUUGGUAUGGCUAAGCACUGACAAUAUUUGCUGCUUAAAGGCUUGCCAUGUGAAAACCCAGCUACCUAAAUCCCAAACACCUCAUUUCAGAAGGGAAAUAUUCCCGCACUGUAAGAAGAGAGUGCUGUUGUCCUAUCAGAGCAAUAAAAUCAGUUGAACAAGACUGUUGUACCUCCAAGAAAAUUCAUAUGUGGAAAUUUAUCACAAGGAAAAAAUACACUUAAGCCCCACUUAAAAUAAUAAAAUACAUCUUUUAGAGAAAGUUUCAGACUUUUCUGGGUAAGAGGAAUAAUGGUUUCUAUAAUUUAAUAGGUGCUAAAUUUGGUGAGGAGUGCCAGCAAAUCCAUUUCACAUAAUGAUAUUUUAUCUCCCCUGAAACGGUCAUUUUCACAAAUGCCUUUUUAUUGGUUCCCUUGUCCCACGAAGCACCCAGGCUGGAGCUGGGGUGUGUAUAGCAGUGGGGAUGGGUAGGGAAACCAGUCAAUAAUGGGGACACAAAACAUGGGCAGGAUCUGCACGAGGGUUAAAUGUGCUCCCUGUAUAUAGAGAACAUUUCUACUUUGACCCGCAGGGCUCUGGCUUUUUAGCACUUGCUCCUGUAGGAGUUAAGGUGGGUGCAACUAUUAAAAACCAGAGAUGACCCACAUGGAACCGUGGGUGAGAAUAGCAUAGAAAAGACUGAGAAUAAAACAACCAACAGCCCUCCCCUUCUGCAGUUUGUGACCACCGUCCCUAAAAAGAAACUGAGUUUCAGGAAAGGGAAUAGAGAAUUUUUUUCUGGUUGGGAAAAAGAAGUGGAAAGUUCAAUGAAUAAUCAGAUCAGAAUAAAAUGGAAAGAAGGGGAAAUAUGUAAGGGUUGGUCUAAAGAGGCCAUGCAUGAAUUAAAGUGUGAUCCAUAGGCUUGGCGUGAAACGGUCAGCGAUAUUCACAAUCAGCACAAGGUCUUUGCUGCCCGCCCCCUUAUGUGCCAUAUACCUGUAAUUGCCAUAUACUUGUCAUUCUGUUGCAUAUAUUUUUUUUCAGUUCUGCCACCCUUGGAAUUCUCCCAUCGUAGGUGGUGUGUUGCCUGCCUGGGAGCUCCUGCAGCCCUGCCUGCGUGGAGGAACAAGGAUGUGAUAAUACCGGGCCCUGGAGCUGCAAAUGCAGAACGAACCAAGGAGUAAAAGAAUUGACAAGACAAGCAGUGGUGGGAAAUGGAGGGAAGACUGUGAAAAAGGUUAUAAUAAAUAAUAAGAAAUGUUGCAUGGGCCAAAGGAAUAAUAGAUCAGCGAUGGAAAGACUCUAAAAGCUGCUGAGGGUUAUUUAUUGAUGGACAUUGUUUAAAAGAAAAAAAAAUCAGUGACAGUUUUCCUUCGUGUUCACCAAGGCAGAUGGCGGGGCAGGUGCCAGAAUGAAAGAUAAAUUUCCUUUUGCAUAAAGAAGAAAUAUUGAAGGAAACUGAGCAGAGGUGAUGGAGAAAUUAGAGCGUUGAAAGACCCUGAAAGCACGCGGUCCAUGUCAGCCCUCUCUCAGGAUUUUCAGCUGAGUCAGCAGAAAGCAGGAAAAACUGUUGCGGGAAAUGAGAACCUCUUUGAAGACCAGUAAUGGAGAGGUUCCUGCAAGUGUCACGUCCAGAGGUCUGAGGAAAGCCUUCCAGGAAUUAAAGUUGGUGGUGCAGAAGGUACCUCCGCGUGGCUGAGUGGCCAACGUGCAUCGUAAUCUGGGACUGCAGUAGAGACAUAGUUAGAAGUUAUGAAUGUAAUGAAGGGAAACCAUCAAAGAUUCAGAAAUUGGAAGCUGGGCCAAUAAUGGGAGAGGAAAACGGACAGAGGGUUUCUGAGGACUUUGUGCAAAUCAUGAGCCAGGGAGAGCCAAGAGAUACAACUUGUGCAGUGGCAGCAAAGGUUGGGUGUAACACGUUCAAAAAGCAUAACAUGGAGUGGAAGUGAUGAGUGUGGGACAUGGAAGCGCCUGGUGGAGCUCUGAGCUGGUGGUACACACAGAGCUGCUGUGAGGAUGCAUUGGUUUCUGUUGCCUUGGCUGUGAGCGGGGGGUUGGGGGGGUCUGUGGGCACCGGAGUGAAUGUAACUGAGGUACAAGAGAGACAUGAGGAAAGGAACAAACCCUGCAGGAGCUGAGGGCACCUGGCCUGGCUGGGGAACCUGCAGGGUGGGUCCAUCCCAAGGCCAGCAGCUGUGCCUCUGCAACAUGUGCUAGGGAGUUCUAAUUAACAGCUCUCCAACCGUCCCUGCAGUGGGUGAGUGCAAAUUAGACGGCUGUUGUAAACAUGGUGAAUCAGACUUGCCAACGGUUAACCAGGAGGAAAACCGUUUAUCUGA
RNA transcript from Gallus gallus (chicken), 11525 nucleotides. It is a transcript of the gene named mitochondrial rRNA methyltransferase 1, with no coding region annotated. The record is from RefSeq and is marked validated. The transcript has 12 exons. Lineage: Eukaryota; Metazoa; Chordata; Aves; Galliformes; Phasianidae.